AGAACGAACGCUGGCGGCAUGCCUAACACAUGCAAGUCGAACGAGACCUUCGGGUCUAGUGGCGCACGGGUGCGUAACGCGUGGGAAUCUGCCCUUAGGUUCGGAAUAACAGUUAGAAAUGACUGCUAAUACCGGAUAAUGUCUUCGGACCAAAGAUUUAUUGCCUAAGGAUGAGCCCGCGUAAGAUUAGCUUGUUGGUGAGGUAAAGGCUCACCAAGGCGACGAUCUUUAGCUGGUCUGAGAGGAUGAUCAGCCACACUGGGACUGAGACACGGCCCAGACUCCUACGGGAGGCAGCAGUGGGGAAUAUUGGACAAUGGGCGAAAGCCUGAUCCAGCAAUGCCGCGUGAGUGAUGAAGGCCUUAGGUGUAAGCUCUUUACCGGGAUGAUAUGACAGUACCGGAGAAUAAGCCCCGGAUAACUCCGUGCCAGCAGCCGC
Molecule: ribosomal RNA, 439 nt
Filed under: uncultured soil bacterium
Lineage: Bacteria
Description: bacterial SSU rRNA
Rfam family: Bacterial small subunit ribosomal RNA
Source: RNAcentral